AACAAGGAUUCCCCUAGUAACGGCGAGCGAAGCGGGAAGAGCUCAAAUUUGGAAGCUGGCGUCUUCGGCGUCCGCGUUGUAAUCUCGAGACGUGUCUUCCGUGCGGCUCUAUGGACAAGUCCCUUGGAACAGGGCAUCGUAGAGGGUGAAAAUCCCGUACUUGCCAUGGAAGUACCGUGCUUUGUGAUACACGCUCCAAGAGUCGAGUAGUUUGGGAUUGCUGCUCAAAGUGGGUGGUAGACUCCAUCUAGGGCUAAAUAUCGGGGAGAGACCGAUAGCGAACAAGUACCGUGAGGGAAAGAUGAAAAGCACUUUGGAAAGAGAGUUAAAAGUACGUGAAAUUGUCAAAAGGGAAGCACUUGAAGUCAGCCAUGCUGCUUGAGACUCAGCCUGGCCUUUGGGCUUGGUGUAUUUCUCGGUGGCAAGCCAGCAUUGGUUUGGGUCGUCGGAGAAGCGCAUAGGGAAUGUAGCGUCUCCGGACGUGUUAUAGCCUUAUGCAGGAUACGACGACCUGGAUCAAGGAACGCAGUGUGCCCUCUGGGCGGGUCUUCGGACACCUUCACACUUAGGAUGCUGGCGUAAU
RNAcentral lists this ribosomal RNA (583 nucleotides) under uncultured Malassezia. RNAcentral's name for it is "LSU rRNA". It matches the Rfam family "Eukaryotic large subunit ribosomal RNA", at positions 67 to 635 of the family's 3401-position model. The record is from RNAcentral. Lineage: Eukaryota; Fungi; Basidiomycota; Malasseziomycetes; Malasseziales; Malasseziaceae.